GACGAACGCUGGCGGCGUGCCUAAUACAUGCAAGUCGACCUUAGUGGCGAACGGGUGAGUAACACGUGGGUAACCUGCCCAUCAGACUGGGCUAACACUUUGAAACAGGUGCUAAUACCGUAUACUGAUGGAUCGACCCGCGGUGCAUUUGCUAGUUGGGGAGGUAACGGCUCACCAAGGCCACGAUGCAUAGCCGACCUGAGGGGGUGAUCUGCCACCUGUGGACUGAGACACGGCCCAAACUCCUACGGGAGGCAGCAGUAGGGAAUCUUCGGCAAUGGACGAAAGGCUGACAGAGCAAAGCCGCGUGAGUGAAGAAGGUUUUCGGAUCGUAAAACUCUGUUCUUAGAGAAGCGGUAUCUAACCAGAAAGCCACGGCUAACUACGUGCCAGCAGCCGCGGUAAUUC
This 408-nucleotide ribosomal RNA is filed under the name uncultured bacterium. Its description in RNAcentral is "partial 16S ribosomal RNA". It matches the Rfam family "Bacterial small subunit ribosomal RNA", at positions 28 to 526 of the family's 1533-position model. The record is from RNAcentral.